AUACUGUUAGCAUUAAUAAAAUACUUCCAUUGAUGCCAACAAUAACGAUUUGUACGGUUAAAUGUAUUUCAGAAUUUAUUUCAAUCUUAAUAAUCAAUUUCUUCGUCUGUUGGAACUUUUCAGAUUUUUUUCUUAGUACCGUUUUGUUUUUUAUAAAGGGACAUAACACCAUUACUAACCGUGUAUGAAAUAAGCCCCGCCCCCUUCUUACCUAAUAUGGAAUAUAAAGGGACGUAACUCCACUACUAACCGUGUAUGAGAUAAGCCCCGCC
Molecule: long non-coding RNA, 272 nt
Filed under: Mytilus galloprovincialis (Mediterranean mussel)
Lineage: Eukaryota; Metazoa; Mollusca; Bivalvia; Mytilida; Mytilidae
Source: RNAcentral